This 254-nucleotide ribosomal RNA is filed under the name uncultured bacterium. RNAcentral describes it as "partial 16S ribosomal RNA". It matches the Rfam family "Bacterial small subunit ribosomal RNA", at positions 524 to 776 of the family's 1533-position model. The record is from RNAcentral.
UACGAAGGGGGCUAGCGUUGCUCGGAAUCACUGGGCGUAAAGCGCACGUAGGCGGACUCUUAAGUCGGUGGUGAAAUCCUGGAGCUCAACUCCAGAACUGCCUCCGAUACUGGGAGCCUUCGAGUCCGGGAGAGGUGAGUGGAACUGCGAGUGUAGAGGUGAAAUUCGUAGAUAUUCGCAAGAACACCCGUGGCUAAGGCGGCUCUCUAGUACGGUACUGACGCUGAGACGCGAAAGCGUGGGGAGCGAACAGG